UAUAAAAUGAGGGCAGUAAGAC
This 22-nucleotide microRNA is filed under the name Homo sapiens (human). RNAcentral describes it as "hsa-miR-3163". Lineage: Eukaryota; Metazoa; Chordata; Mammalia; Primates; Hominidae. The record is from miRBase by way of RNAcentral.